RNAcentral lists this ribosomal RNA (440 nucleotides) under uncultured bacterium. RNAcentral describes it as "bacterial SSU rRNA". It matches the Rfam family "Bacterial small subunit ribosomal RNA", at positions 68 to 507 of the family's 1533-position model. The record is from RNAcentral.
GGAAGCUUGCUUCCGAUAGGCGUCGACCGGCGCACGGGUGAGUAACGCGUAUCCAGCCUGCCCACCACUUGGGGAUAACCUUGCGAAAGUAGACUAAUACCCAAUGAUAUCUCUAGAAGACAUCUGAAAGAGAUUAAAGAUUUAUCGGUGAUGGAUGGGGAUGCGUCUGAUUAGCUUGUUGGCGGGUAACGGCCCACCAAGGCAACGAUCAGUAGGGGUUCUGAGAGGAAGGUCCCCCCACAUUGGAACUGAGACACGGUCCAAACUCCUACGGGAGACAGCAGUGAGGAAUAUUGGGUCAAUGGGCGAGAGCCUGAACCAGCCAAGUAGCGUGCAGGACGACGGCCCUAUGGGUUGUAAACUGCUUUUAUAAGGGAAUAAAGUGAGUCUCGUGAGACUUUUUGCAUGUACCUUAUGAAUAAGGACCGGCUAAUUCCGUG